UUUCAGAGACAUGGAUUUCAGCUUAGAUUCAGAGUUCUUAGCUUCCACGUCCACAGAUGGUGCCGCCAGAAUAUGGAACACAAGGGACGGUGUUCCAGUAACUUUGUCACGAAAUACAGAUGAGAAUAUUGAGCUCUGCAGGUUCUCUAAAGAUGGGACAAAACCGUUUUUGUUCACUACUGUUCAGAAAGGCAAUAAGUCAUUGAUUGCAGUUUGGGACAUCAGUACAUGGAAGAAAAUUGGACAUAAAAGCCUGUAUAAUAAGCCAGCUUCCAUUAUGACAAUCAGUUUGGACGGGAAAUAUCUCGCAUUGGGAAGCAAAGAUGGUGAUGUCUGUGUUAUUGAUGUGACAAAGAUGGAGAUCUCCUCUUUGCACAAGAGGUUGCACUUGGGUACUAAUAUUACUUCUUUGGAGUUUUGUCCCAGUGAAAGGGUGGCUCUUACCACUUCCUCUCAAUGGGGAGUAAUGGUGACCAAGCUAAAUGUCCCAACCGAUUGGAAAGAGUGGCAGAUUUAUCUAUUACUCUUGGGAUUGUUUUUGGCAUCAGCUGUUCUAUUUUACGUGUUCUUCGAGAAUUCUGAUUCUUUCUGGAACUUCCCUGAUCCAUCUACAAGACCAAAGAUUGAGACUCUCCAUGUUGAUGCAACAUCUGAAGAACAAUGGAGUAGCUUUGGACCUUUAGAUUUGUAAGCUGCUCUUGUAGCGUUUUCGUCGGAUUUCAAGAUGGCAGACCUAAGAAAGAUUAUGAAAUAAGUCUUAGCUUUUUGGAGGCAUUUUAACUAGCUUGUUUACUUUCUAACUGAUGAAUGUUAAAAAUAUGAGAGACUAAUAUUUGCCUUUUUUUGGAUGUUUAUUUGAUGCAGCAUACUGUAG
This 874-nucleotide unclassified non-coding RNA is filed under the name Hevea brasiliensis (rubber tree). The record is from RNAcentral. Lineage: Eukaryota; Viridiplantae; Streptophyta; Magnoliopsida; Malpighiales; Euphorbiaceae.